CAUUGGCUUUAUCGAAGCUAUGACCUUUUUUUCCAUAAAAUGUUGUAGUCAAAAGUAAGCCAAUAAUAAAUAAACUCUUUUUUUGGUCACUGGUUAAGUCUAAUAUUUUUUCAGUAUUACCCUAAAAGAGUACACUU
Molecule: small nucleolar RNA, 137 nt
Organism: Microplitis demolitor
Lineage: Eukaryota; Metazoa; Arthropoda; Insecta; Hymenoptera; Braconidae
Source: RefSeq, a predicted model, not a curated record